Molecule: ribosomal RNA, 1542 nt
Filed under: Escherichia coli
Lineage: Bacteria; Pseudomonadati; Pseudomonadota; Gammaproteobacteria; Enterobacterales; Enterobacteriaceae
Also listed under: 1 other name
Description: bacterial SSU rRNA
Rfam family: Bacterial small subunit ribosomal RNA
Source: RNAcentral
AAAUUGAAGAGUUUGAUCAUGGCUCAGAUUGAACGCUGGCGGCAGGCCUAACACAUGCAAGUCGAACGGUAACAGGAAGCAGCUUGCUGUUUCGCUGACGAGUGGCGGACGGGUGAGUAAUGUCUGGGAAACUGCCUGAUGGAGGGGGAUAACUACUGGAAACGGUAGCUAAUACCGCAUAACGUCGCAAGACCAAAGAGGGGGACCUUCGGGCCUCUUGCCAUCGGAUGUGCCCAGAUGGGAUUAGCUUGUUGGUGGGGUAACGGCUCACCAAGGCGACGAUCCCUAGCUGGUCUGAGAGGAUGACCAGCCACACUGGAACUGAGACACGGUCCAGACUCCUACGGGAGGCAGCAGUGGGGAAUAUUGCACAAUGGGCGCAAGCCUGAUGCAGCCAUGCCGCGUGUAUGAAGAAGGCCUUCGGGUUGUAAAGUACUUUCAGCGGGGAGGAAGGGAGUAAAGUUAAUACCUUUACUCAUUGACGUUACCCGCAGAAGAAGCACCGGCUAACUCCGUGCCAGCAGCCGCGGUAAUACGGAGGGUGCAAGCGUUAAUCGGAAUUACUGGGCGUAAAGCGCACGCAGGCGGUUUGUUAAGUCAGAUGUGAAAUCCCCGGGCUCAACCUGGGAACUGCAUCUGAUACUGGCAAGCUUGAGUCUCGUAGAGGGGGGUAGAAUUCCAGGUGUAGCGGUGAAAUGCGUAGAGAUCUGGAGGAAUACCGGUGGCGAAGGCGGCCCCCUGGACGAAGACUGACGCUCAGGUGCGAAAGCGUGGGGAGCAAACAGGAUUAGAUACCCUGGUAGUCCACGCCGUAAACGAUGUCGACUUGGAGGUUGUGCCCUUGAGGCGUGGCUUCCGGAGCUAACGCGUUAAGUCGACCGCCUGGGGAGUACGGCCGCAAGGUUAAAACUCAAAUGAAUUGACGGGGGCCCGCACAAGCGGUGGAGCAUGUGGUUUAAUUCGAUGCAACGCGAAGAACCUUACCUGGUCUUGACAUCCACAGAACCCUGUAGAGAUACGGGGGUGCCUUCGGGAACUGUGAGACAGGUGCUGCAUGGCUGUCGUCAGCUCGUGUUGUGAAAUGUUGGGUUAAGUCCCGCAACGAGCGCAACCCUUAUCCUUUGUUGCCAGCGGUCCGGCCGGGAACUCAAAGGAGACUGCCAGUGAUAAACUGGAGGAAGGUGGGGAUGACGUCAAGUCAUCAUGGCCCUUACGACCAGGGCUACACACGUGCUACAAUGGCGCAUACAAAGAGAAGCGACCUCGCGAGAGCAAGCGGAUCUCAUAAAGUGCGUCGUAGUCCGGAUUGGAGUCUGCAACUCGACUCCAUGAAGUCGGAAUCGCUAGUAAUCGUGGAUCAGAAUGCCACGGUGAAUACGUUCCCGGGCCUUGUACACACCGCCCGUCACACCAUGGGAGUGGGUUGCAAAAGAAGUAGGUAGCUUAACCUUCGGGAGGGCGCUUACCACUUUGUGAUUCAUGACUGGGGUGAAGUCGUAACAAGGUAACCGUAGGGGAACCUGCGGUUGGAUCACCUCCUUA